RNAcentral lists this ribosomal RNA (499 nucleotides) under uncultured bacterium. RNAcentral's name for it is "bacterial SSU rRNA". It matches the Rfam family "Bacterial small subunit ribosomal RNA", at positions 28 to 524 of the family's 1533-position model. The record is from RNAcentral.
GACGAACGCUGGCGGCGUGCUUAACACAUGCAAGUCGAGCGGUAAGGCCCUUUCGGGGGUACACGAGCGGCGAACGGGUGAGUAGCACGUGGGUGACCUGCCCUUAGCUCUGGGAUAAGCCUGGGAAACUGGGUCUAAUACCGGAUAUGACUCCAUGACGCAUGUUGUGGGGUGGAAAGCCUUGUGCGGCUAGGGAUGGGCCCGCGGCCUAUCAGCUUGUUGGUGGGGUGAUGGCCACCAAGGCGACGACGGGUAGCCGGCCUGAGAGGGCGACCGGCCACACUGGGACUGAGACACGGCCCAGACUCCUACGGGAGGCAGCAGUCGGGGAAUUUUGGGCAAUGGGCGAAAGCCUGACCCAGCAACGCCGCGUGAAGGAUGAAAUCCCUCGGGAUGUAAACUUCGCAAGAACGGGAAGAAUAAGCGAGAGUAAAUAUCUUUCGCGAUGACGGUACCGUUUGUAAGCUCCGGCUAACUCCGUGCCAGCAGCCGCCGUAAC